This is a long non-coding RNA of Esox lucius (northern pike), 2370 nucleotides long. The record is from Ensembl. NCBI's taxonomy places the organism in Eukaryota, Metazoa, Chordata, Actinopteri, Esociformes, Esocidae.
CGGGGGCCCAAAAUAAAUUCAGCGUUAAGCCCCCGAAAGCCUAGAACCGGACCUACAUACACCUCUCAGGUGUGUGGCAUGGUGUUGCGGAAUUUUUUUCUCCAGCCAAAGCUUUUUUUUCAAGACCUGCUUUGAAUGCAUUGGCUAUCCAUCUCAAAUAAGUAUAUGCAGCCUAACACAUAGCCUAUACUCGUUUAUGUAUAAUGCGUAACGGGUUAAUGUACUAUUACGGACAUCGCGAACUAAACAGCAUUCUGUUUCAUUGUGAUUAUGUAGGCUACGCUCGGACAGCGGGUUUUGUUUAGGACUAUUGCGCUCUGGAGAUGACUUCUUUUUGGUGGAUUACUCGUUGAAAGAGCCGAUCUUUUCGAGCGCAACCAAACUGGUGAAUUGUUCAACAUCUUUCCGCUCCAGGAAACUGGAACUCAUGGCUUCGUCUCAUAAACUGGGUCAUCGGAGGGAUAUCAAUGCCUGGCCAAGAAUGUCUUCAACUUUUUGUGCUGCGGUGCUACUGACCAGCCUACUGAUAAUUUACUGUGAUGAGAAACCUAUAGGUUCAAGAGACUCAUGCAGGCAUUCUCUGACCCAGUGACUGAGAUCAACCUGCUCUUUUACCAAGAUGAUUACCUUCAUCCACAAACUUUGCUCAAAGUUUGUAAAGCCUGCAGCUCUUCGGAACCUGGAGCCACAAGAAAUCCACUAUGAGGAAUAGACAAACCAACUGCCAGGAGCAGAGCUGAAUGUUGGUUAAACAACAAGAUCCAAGAUUAACAGGCUUCUUGAGGCUGGAGACAUCCAAACUACCCUUCACAUAAUUUUAGGAAAUCUCACUCCAAGCUAUCUUCAGGAGUUGGCAGGCCUGAAUCAACCAAUCUGGAGGUUUCCUACUACCCUUACUAAGCAUAUCAGUGCUGUUCAUAACUAGAUUAAUUGGAUCAAGACAGGGUAAAUUAUAUAAAUCAUGGCCAGAAAUUGUUUUUGGUACUGCAGCACCGGUAGAAAAAAUGAAGAGAAUCCAAAACAUCACUUGUGACAACAAUCUGUUAAAAAUGAUUUGGACUUAAAGAGAACAAGAGAAGCUGGGGCAAGACACUGAUACUGGCCAAUCAUCACUAUAUACGUGUGUUUGUGUGUCUAUGUUCAUAAUAUGUAUAAGGAAAAUGUGUGAUUUACCAAACAAUUCUACAAGCAUUGUAGGAGAUGAUAAAUACCAAUUGUUCUUAGCCUCAGUGUCCCCUUGACAGUCUGUUGAGCCUCAGUGUUUGAAAACUUAGUUUUGCUGAAUGGCAUGUUUUAUCUGCUGAGCCAAUCUGUACUUUCUGCAAAAAUGGCCCAUCUGUAUCUGAAAACUCGGGAAAAUGAAUCAUGUGCCAAAUAUUUCAUCUGAGAAACCAAAGCAAUCUUAUAUUACAUUUCUCAUCUUCUGAGUCUACAGUAAUAUAUCAACAAUUGUUUUACACAUGGAAAUCUCAAUAGAUUUUUCAUGACAAAUGCACUGAAGGUAAAAUUAUUUGACAUACAUAUGUUAGCCUGUUAAGAAACAUUGCAAAGAAAAAACAAUCAAACUGAAGCCUAACUGAAUUAUUCUCACAAUUACAUGAACUUUUAAAAUAAUAUUCUGUAGCUCUCAAACGUAUUGGACUUCUCCACAUUUUCCAAUUGCUACAUGAAAUGAAAAUGGAUUUAAUCAGAAGAUUUUGCCAUCAAAAUAUUAACAAACUUAACAGAAUACAUCUGCAAAUUGUUUGAAAUGCAUUGCUUAUAUUAAACAGAAAAUAGCCGAUUUAGUAAGUAUUACUUGCCUUUACUAUGUCACCCCUGAACAAGCUGCUAUAUUUAGCACAACCGUAACACCCCACACACACCAUAGCUGCAGUUUUCACACUAAAUCGGGCUACUUUUCAAACAAUGUUGCGAUUUUUUGGCAUACUUCUGAACUUCACAGCAGCAGCACCUUUUCUGUCUUUAUAUUGCUAUAUUUAGUGUUUCUAUGCUGUUAUCACAUCAGACGUCAGCUACGGUAGGAUCCGCGGUUUCACCUGCGUAUAUACUGCAUCUUAUGUUGUGUUACGGGGGAUUUGGUUCACUUGUAAAAUAGUCUAUAUUGUGCACCAACAAAAGUUGGGCUAGUUUUCAGUCAUUUUGGGAUGGAUUUGAGCAGUCGUUGGGCCAGAAAUGUUUGCUUAACCCGGUUAAUACUGUCCUGAAAACCCCUAAUGCAGCGAGAUGCUUCUCUGGAAUGCUUAUCAGCAUGUAGUAGAUCAAAUGUUUAAAAAAAUAUACAUACAAGCUUAUUAUUGUAAUGUUUGACUACUUUAUAUUCAGUGUUACAAUAUUUUUAUUUUAUUUUUCCAACAGACUUUGUAUAUU